Sardina pilchardus (European sardine) is the source of this 412-nucleotide long non-coding RNA. RefSeq lists it as uncharacterized. NCBI's taxonomy places the organism in Eukaryota, Metazoa, Chordata, Actinopteri, Clupeiformes, Clupeidae. The record is from RefSeq and is a predicted model, not a curated record. The transcript has 3 exons.
GUAAUACCCUGGUCCCUGCUCAACAAGUGAAGCUUUUAAUAUAGCCUGAGUUAUAAAAAAAAUAGUCAUGAUCAGUUUGUCUGCGAAGUUAGACUGCUACCGAACCUAAAACAUGUAGGCUAACACAUUCUCUUCUUAUCGGGACAUGGGUGACUUUGUUAGUAGCUUAUUUCCAAUGGCGCAGAACGAGACGAACUGAAGCUUGUCAUGAUGAGAUUCAUUUGAAUGACAUGAGGAGUGGCUGAAACAUGGAUCAACAAGCCAACACAAAACAGGACGGCAGCCUAAAGGGGCAAAGCUCACUCCAUCAUGAGAGGCCUCCAUCACCUGUGCCCACUUGUGUGUCCAUGAAGAGUGACCAGUCACAGGAUCGUGGGAUAACCUUCAAACAUGAUGUCACAGAUGGAUCAAG